UGUUGGGAUGGCUCAAUCAUG
RNAcentral lists this microRNA (21 nucleotides) under Populus trichocarpa (black cottonwood). Its description in RNAcentral is "ptc-miR171g-5p". Its record names the gene ptc-miR171g-5p. RNAcentral also lists the same sequence under 1 other name. The record is from miRBase by way of RNAcentral. Lineage: Eukaryota; Viridiplantae; Streptophyta; Magnoliopsida; Malpighiales; Salicaceae.